GGAUGGAUUUGAGUAAGAGCGUAUAGCCUCGGACCCGAAAGAUGGUGAACUAUGCCUGAAUAGGGUGAAGCCAGAGGAAACUCUGGUGGAGGCUCGCAGCGGUUCUGACGUGCAAUCGAUCGUCAAAUUUGGGCAUGGGGGCGAAAGACUAAUCGAACCAUCUAGUAGCUGGUUACCGCCGAAGUUUCCCUCAGGAUAGCAGUGUUGUUCUUCAGUUUUAUGAGGUAAAGCGAAUGAUUAGGGACUCGGGGGCGCUAUUUAGCCUUCAUCCAUUCUCAAACUUUAAAUAUGUAAGAAGCCCUUGUUACUUAAUUGAACGUGGGCAUUCGAAUGUACCAACACUAGUGGGCCAUUUUUGGUAAGCAGAACUGGCGAUGCGGGAUGAACCGAACGCGGGGUUAAGGUGCCAGAGUGGACGCUCAUCAGACACCACAAAAGGCGUUAGUACAUCUUGACAGCAGGACGGUGGCCAUGGAAGUCGGAAUCCGCUAAGGACUGUGUAACAACUCACCUGCCGAAUGUACUAGCCCUGAAAAUGGAUGGCGCUCAAGCGUCCCACCCAUACCCCGCCCUUAGGGUAGAAACGAUGCCCUAAGGAGUAGGCGGCCGUGGGGGUCAGUGACGAAGCCUAGGGCGUGAGCCCGGGUCGAACGGCCCCUAG
This 661-nucleotide ribosomal RNA is filed under the name Coniochaetales sp. A1007. RNAcentral describes it as "LSU rRNA". It matches the Rfam family "Eukaryotic large subunit ribosomal RNA", at positions 782 to 1442 of the family's 3401-position model. Lineage: Eukaryota; Fungi; Ascomycota; Sordariomycetes; Coniochaetales. The record is from RNAcentral.